GAUGAACGCUGGCGGCGUGCCUAAUACAUGCAAGUCGAGCGAACAGACGAGGAGCUUGCUCCUCUGACGUUAGCGGCGGACGGGUGAGUAACACGUGGAUAACCUACCUAUAAGACUGGGAUAACUUCGGGAAACCGGAGCUAAUACCGGAUAAUAUAUUGAACCGCAUGGUUCAAUAGUGAAAGACGGUUUUGCUGUCACUUAUAGAUGGAUCCGCGCCGCAUUAGCUAGUUGGUAAGGUAACGGCUUACCAAGGCAACGAUGCGUAGCCGACCUGAGAGGGGGAUCCGCCCCCCUUGAACUGAGACACGGUCCAGACUCCUACGGGAGGCAGCAGUAGGGAAUCUUCCGCAAUGGGCGAAAGCCUGACGGAGCAACGCCGCGUGAGUGAUGAAGGUCUUCGGAUCGUAAAACUCUGUUAUUAGGGAAGAACAAAUGUGUAAGUAACUAUGCACGUCUGGACGGUACCUAAGCAGAAAGCCACGGCUAACUACGG
Molecule: ribosomal RNA, 496 nt
Filed under: uncultured bacterium
Lineage: Bacteria
Description: partial 16S ribosomal RNA
Rfam family: Bacterial small subunit ribosomal RNA
Source: RNAcentral